CGUACGGCCGAUAGGUCUGUGACUAACUGUUGUCCGGGGUUCGUAGGCCCCCCUUGUAUAGACGUGAACGAGUGCUCGUCUAACCCGUGUCUUAAUGGAGGGCGUUGUAACAAUCUUCAGAAUGCAUACAGUUGUAGCUGUAAUUCUGGCUGGAGGGGAACAAGAUGUCAAACUGACGUAAACGAGUGCUCGUCUAACCCGUGUCUUAAUGGAGCCUGUAACAAUCUUCAGAAUGCAUUCCGUUGUACCUGUAAUUCUGGCUGGACGGACACAAGAUGUCAAACUGAUAUUAACGAGUGCUCGUCUGACCCGUGUCUUAAUGGAGCCUGUAACAAUCUUCAGAAUGCAUACAGUUGUACCUGUAAUUCUGGCUGGAUAGGAACAAGAUGUGAAACUGACAUUGAUGAAUGUGAAUCUGGACCUUGUCAAAAUGAUGGUGAAUGUGAAGAUAAGGUCAAUGCGUUUCUCUGCCAUUGCCAAUCUGGUUGGACAGGGACAACGUGUGCAGAAGAUGUUGAUGAAUGUUCUUCAAACCAAUGCCUAA
RNAcentral lists this long non-coding RNA (544 nucleotides) under Strongylocentrotus purpuratus (purple sea urchin). RNAcentral describes it as "uncharacterized LOC105439531, transcript variant X2". Lineage: Eukaryota; Metazoa; Echinodermata; Echinoidea; Camarodonta; Strongylocentrotidae. The record is from RNAcentral.